GUUAAAGGCUUUCCAAUGGGAUUAGAUACCCCACUAUAAGAGCAAUAAAACUUAAUCAAAACCCGAGAACUACGAACUAAAGUUUAAAACUCAAAGGACUUGGCGGUUUUCUACACCUAUCUGGAGGAGCUUGCUAUCUAACCGAUAACCCACGUAAAACCUCACCAACUUUUGAUUCCAGCCUGUAUACCAUCGUCGUCAGUCUACCUUUCAAAAGCAGUAUACACAAUGACCUUUUUUCUUAACGCCAGAUCAAGGUGCAGCUUAUAAGUUGGGGAUAAGUGAGCUACUAUAAUUUAACAAAAAAUAAAAAUAUGAAAAAAUGAAUGAAACUUCAUUUAGAAACAGAAUUCAGUAGUAACGGCUAAACAAAUAGAAAAUAACCGUGAAUACUCAGCUCUAGAAUACGCACACACCGCCCGUCACCCCCUUG
This 433-nucleotide ribosomal RNA is filed under the name Freyastera benthophila. Its description in RNAcentral is "partial 12S ribosomal RNA". It matches the Rfam family "Bacterial small subunit ribosomal RNA", at positions 752 to 1407 of the family's 1533-position model. The record is from RNAcentral. Lineage: Eukaryota; Metazoa; Echinodermata; Asteroidea; Brisingida; Brisingidae.